RNAcentral lists this ribosomal RNA (252 nucleotides) under uncultured bacterium. Its description in RNAcentral is "partial 16S ribosomal RNA". It matches the Rfam family "Bacterial small subunit ribosomal RNA", at positions 524 to 776 of the family's 1533-position model. The record is from RNAcentral.
UACGUAGGGGGCAAGCGUUGUCCGGAUUUAUUGGGCGUAAAGAGCGUGUAGGCGGUUUGGUAGGUCUGCUGUGAAAACUCGAGGCUCAACCUCGAGACGCCGGCGGAAACCCCCAGCUAGAGUCCGGAAGAGGAGAGUGGAAUUCCUGGUGUAGCGGUGAAAUGCGCAGAUAUCGGGAGGAACACCAGUAGCGAAGGCGGCACUCUGGGCCGGUACUGACGCUGAGGAGCGAAAGCGUGGGGAGCGAACAGG